RNAcentral lists this ribosomal RNA (253 nucleotides) under uncultured bacterium. Its description in RNAcentral is "partial 16S ribosomal RNA". It matches the Rfam family "Bacterial small subunit ribosomal RNA", at positions 524 to 776 of the family's 1533-position model. The record is from RNAcentral.
UACGGGGGGGGCAAGCGUUGUUCGGAAUUACUGGGCGUAAAGGGCUCGUAGGUGGCCAACUAAGUCAGACGUGAAAUCCCUCGGCUUAACCGGGGAACUGCGUCUGAUACUGGAUGGCUUGAGUUUGGGAGAGGGACGCGGAAUUCCAGGUGUAGCGGUGAAAUGCGUAGAUAUUGGGAGGAACACCAGUGGCGAAGGCGGCUCACUGGACCGGAACUGACGCUGAGGCGCGAAAGCGUGGGGAGCAAACGGG